This is a long non-coding RNA of Tachyglossus aculeatus (Australian echidna), 318 nucleotides long. RefSeq lists it as uncharacterized. The record is from RefSeq and is a predicted model, not a curated record. The transcript is spliced from 3 exons. Lineage: Eukaryota; Metazoa; Chordata; Mammalia; Monotremata; Tachyglossidae.
UGAUGAGCGGUGUUUGGCGGGAGUGGUAUCCACAGCGAGGGAAAGAAGCCAGGAGGCUGACAGUCCUGAGGCUGAGGGUCUGACGCCCUGAUCCUUGCAAAAACCCAAGAUAACCAGAAACUCGUCACUCUGGACUAGGACUCCACCCGCCUGCGUUCCAGAGCUCAGCAGAGUGAAAGAAGCCCAACCAGCCUUUUUUCAAGGAACAAAUGAAAAGAACAUUCUUUAUUAACUCACCUGGCUCAAAUUUCGAUUUGCCUCAGUUGAAUGACUAACUGCAAGGCUCAUCUAUCAAAUGAAGUUACCAACAACGCGAUC